UUGUGGUGUGUCCAGUUGGCCUUUGCUCUUUGAGUGAUAGUGCUUUACUGGUCUGCCAUGUUUGGGUGGAAUCUGUGUGGCAUUAAGUUGUCGUGCAGGGGAUGCCCAUCGUUUACUGUGAAAAAAUUAGAGUGUUCAAAGCAGGCUUAUGCCUCUGAAUAUAUUAGCAUGGAAUAAUGAUAUAGGACCUUGGUACUAUUUUGUUGGUUUGCGCACUGAGGUAAUGAUUAAGAGGGACAGUUGGGGGUAUUUGUAUUCCAUUGUCAGAGGUGAAAUUCUUGGAUUUUUGGAAGACAAACUACUGCGAAAGCAUUUACCAAGGAUGUUUUCAUUAAUCAAGAACGAAAGUUAGGGGAUCGAAGAUGAUUAGAUACCAUCGUAGUCUUAACCAUAAACUAUGCCGACAAGGGAUUGGUGGAGUUUCGUUUCGUCUCCAUCAGCACCUUGUGAGAAAUCAUAAGUCUUUGGGUUCCGGGGGGAGUAUGGUCGC
RNAcentral lists this ribosomal RNA (490 nucleotides) under Fragilariopsis sp. RCC5507. Its description in RNAcentral is "SSU rRNA". It matches the Rfam family "Eukaryotic small subunit ribosomal RNA", at positions 640 to 1132 of the family's 1831-position model. The record is from RNAcentral. Lineage: Eukaryota; Bacillariophyta; Bacillariophyceae; Bacillariales; Bacillariaceae.